RNAcentral lists this ribosomal RNA (459 nucleotides) under uncultured bacterium. RNAcentral describes it as "bacterial SSU rRNA". It matches the Rfam family "Bacterial small subunit ribosomal RNA", at positions 775 to 1235 of the family's 1533-position model. The record is from RNAcentral.
AGUCAAUAGAUACCCCGGUAGUCCAUGCCGUAAACGAUGAUUGCUAGGUGUGGGGGGUCUGACCCUUCCGUGCCGGAGUUAAACACAAAUAAGCAAUCCACCUGGGGAGUACGGCCGCAAGGUUGAAACUCAAAGGAAUUGACGGGGGCCCGCACAAGCAGUGGAGUAUGUGGUUUAAUUCGAAGCAACGCGAAGAACCUUACCAGGUCUUGACAUCCACCGAAUCCUGUAGAGAUACGGGAGUGCCCUUCGGGGAACGGUGAGACAGGUGGUGCAUGGUUGUCGUCAGCUCGUGUCGUGAGAUGUUGGGUUAAGUCCCGCAACGAGCGCAACCCUUGUGAAUAGUUGCUACGAAAGAGCACUCUAUUCAGACCGCCGUUGACAAAACGGAGGAAGGUGGGGAUGACGUCAAAUCAUCAUGCCCCUUAUGACCUGGGCUACACACGUACUACAAUGGCC